Pieris napi is the source of this 2855-nucleotide long non-coding RNA. RefSeq lists it as uncharacterized. The record is from RefSeq and is a predicted model, not a curated record. The transcript has 9 exons. NCBI's taxonomy places the organism in Eukaryota, Metazoa, Arthropoda, Insecta, Lepidoptera, Pieridae.
UUCCCCAGAUUGUGUCGGCUAGCGCGCGCCGCAAACGUAAACAGGAAUCUGCAUUGCAUUUUAACAGUCAAAAAAUAUUUCCGUCAUUCACGAUCCGGUAUUAGUGCGUUAUUAUACGUUAAUAAUUGACAAAUAUGAAACUCUACCCAUUUGAAUACUGCUGCUUCUGCGUUGAUCUACGCCUGGGCUCACUUAUUAUAGGAUGUAUAAAUUUGAUUGGUAAUAUAGUUCUGGAAGUAUUUGCUUGCUAUGGCCUUGAAGGCGGGGUGCUUCUGCAGUCCCUAAAUAUCAUCGGGGCAAAUGAAUUGGGCGUGUCUUUGGUCGUCAGUAAUUCCAUACUUGUGGUUAUUAUAGCCGUGUUCAUUGGGUUCUGUUGCUUGCUUCUUUUCGGAAUUUAUAAGAAUAGGCGCUCAUUUGUCAAGAUGUAUCUUAUCUAUGCGCUUGUGUUUCUUGUGGUAUACGCUAUAACAUUCUUCGUUCAGUUGGGCAAUGGAAUUACUGGAGUCGGCGAUAUAAUAGAAGGAGUCGUAACCAUUUUUUGCAACAUUUAUUUCAACCUGGUGAUCAAGAGUUACUACGAUGUGAUGCUAGUUGGUGAUGUACAGGCUACCUAUCGCUCAUAAAUCGUUUCAGUUAGAUUCUGAUGUCUCCACGAAUAAAUUUGUAAACUAAAACCUUUUAAAAAUCGAGUUUUUUUUAUUUCACACAUACACAUUACACAUGAUCAUGUAGACCUUUCAUCAGCGGAUACAAAUCACUGCUAUGACUUCUCGACUUGGUCAGCCGCAGUGGCUAACCACUAUUGGAGAGGCCAGUAUUAAGACUGGAUGGAGGUCUUUUCUUUAGGUUGGAGGAAGUGCACAACAUCCAGUGCAUCCAUCCAACAACCAAGUGCCAGGCGAGUGAACUAUAAUGUAUGAGAGGCCAAAUGUAUGAAAUUCAUGCAACGAUCGAAUGAAUUGUGCUAUAAAUAUUUUCAGAGUAAAUUAAGCAUAUUUGAUGGUACUAAAAGAAACUAUAUUUAUGAUGAUAGCUUUUCAGAAGAUCAUCAUGAAGAUAUUUUAUGGUGUAGAUGGUUUUUACUAUGUUAAAUUUAAGGAGGAGGUAGACAAUAAAAGUUAAGUUAAAAUUAAAGUAAAAGAGCGUCUCAUUUCGUUGUGUGUUUAUUAAUUUAUUUCCAAUUUAUAGUAACAUGGCCAAAUUUCUUUAUUAUUGACUUUAUAAAUAAGACAUUAUUAUAAAUCAACAGCUUUUGCUACAACAACCUUUUGCUAUCUAUAAACCCCCCCCAUACGCCUCAUAAAUAGAUCGUUCUCCGUCGAAGAGUCGAGAAAACUAUUAAGCUGUGAGAGUCAGCGGGGAAUGGGAGGAUGCACAGCAAAAAAGGUAUUUUUUCCAGCAGGGUUGAUAAUUGUCCGGAAUAGUCAGUACAGUCUCAUACUCUCUCCCAGCAAGUAUGCGCUUUCCGUAUCGUUAAUUAUUAUUCUUAAACCGAAUUUCAUACCCUACUAAGUUUCUUCUUCUAGUAAUUCAUACCAUAAACCCCCAUCAAGAACUUAGUAUAAUAGAGGUAAGGAAGGAAGUUGUACCUUCUUUUAUAUAAGUUUUCAAGGAACUUUUUUUGCACCCAUUCAUGAGGAGACCAUAAUAUGAUGCAGCUGGUUUCGAGAAUUGACCUUAUUAAUAACGAAUAUAGCGCCCUGGUGGCAGUGUUCGAGAGACCAGCUGACCAGUUUCGCAGGACAAACCCUAACCUCCUAAAGGCAUCACAUGUAAUUGUCCGAAUAUGCUCCACAAAUUAGCAAUCUGAUACGGACUCUAUUUUCCCGUUUGUAUUUGAGAUUACAUAUUAUAAAACAAAAUUUUCCUUAAAAAUUUGGGUAAUAUAAGGAAAAAUUAUAAAAUAAUAUGUUCUAUUUAAGCUAUUAUUACGCUAGCAGUCAUACUGAUCUGACAAAUUUUGUAUCCUUCAAACCUGAACAAGUAAGUUUUAGAAAUGCUUUAAUAAAAUUUGUAUUUGUAAAACUAAAGGGCUAAUAUUGGCUUCAAGUGUGCGAAGAUUGUUUACAUUUGGUUUACGCUUUUAAUUAUUAACUAACUACUGAAACUUAACAAUAGUUUCUCGUAAUAUGCAAUUCAUUUAUAUCAAAAUCUAAGGGAGCGGGAUUAAUGAUUUAAUAGAUGUACAGUACAAAUGCGGUAUAGUUUUAAACAUAACAAUUAUUAAGCUUUAUUGAUUAAGUGUACGACCAAACGACCAAUAAUGGUUUUGUUAAACAACAGUUUUGACUCUUUUCAGAGGGCUAAAGAUGGACGUAUUGACAGCUAAGAACCUAUGUGUUGCGUCUUUUCAAAUAGCCAUCAAUAUUAUGAUAAUAGCUAAAAGUGGCGCAGACAUUUAUAAGUAUUCGAAGUUACAACAACUAGCAUAUUAUAGCCUAAGCCAGAAAAAUUCUGAUCAAUCACGUUUAGAAAAAUUUAUAAGUAAAAUUAAUUGCAUUUACGCUGUCGAAGGUAUUCUUAUAGGCCUAACAGUGAUAUAUCUUGUUUUUAAUGUGAUUUUGCUUAUUGGAUUAUGUAGGAAAAAGCGAAUUUUGAUCAAAAUCUACUUGAUUGCGACACCAGCUUUUAUCAUUUCCCGUACGGUGUUGUAUGCAUGCCAAUUCGCACGUGUUGCAAACGAUGAACUUUUUCAACUGGGCUAUUAUUUGAACUCAGCAUUUUACGUUCUGAACAUUAUCUUUGUAUUACUCGACAUUAUGUUUUGUUUCAACUUUGCCGUAGUAUAUAAAACAUCGGAAAAUCACGAGAAUAUGCCACAUGGUAUCCACUAAUACAAAUUUUUAGAAUAAAUA